UUUGGUAAAAGUAGUGGAGGUAUUUUCUUUUCUUCCCUUUUGUUGCCUCAGCCCGGUGUCCCUCUGAUAUGAAAAAACAAAAAAAACAAGACAUUGAAGCGUUCGAGAUAGCGAGAAAGUUACGAAGCUUCAGCAGACGUGAACUAACGCCUGGCUCUAGCCGCGUCGCUCUCUCUACCUCCGUCCGCCGCCCAGGUAAGUCGACAGGUGCGUGACAAUCUCCUAGCGUCAUACUGUAACGCUCUGCUGAUUCAGGACAUGUCAGGUCUCUCCGGGGUUGAAGUGGCAGCAGCAGGAACAUGAACACCCAACACUGAGUACAAAGUUAUCCUGUGUUCAGUGUAAUUACCUUCAGAUCAUUCACUUUCCCUCGCCCUCCUUGCCCUGCUCUUCAGUGACAUGACACUCCCACGACACACGGAGCCACUACCAGGUGACCUGUAAUCUUUUAACGAGGUGUAAUAUUUUACUGGUGUAAUCUUUUAACUUGUAACGGCUCGUUUAUUGUAAUGAGCAUUUGGAGUUAUAGAAAGCCCAAUAUUGAGGUGUUUGUAUUGGUCCUUAUGUAACUGAUUGGUAUUCAGGCGUCUUGCAUUUUCGUCAUUUUGGAUUUAGGUUAGCGUAAAUAUUUUUGUACAAAUGUGUCGAGUGACGACCUAGUUUGUUUGCGUCGCUUAAUUGAAGUCUUUACUGUCUGUACUCAUUGAUUUAUUUACUAAUUGAUUGUGCUAAGUGUAUUUACUGUUAGGUCAUCCCAGCCACGUGCCGCCGCCUCGCUCCGCUGCUUCACAAGGCGCUCCACGCGUGCCACAGCCAGCCGGCGCUCCUUAUUGGCGGCCUGAAGACCCACGCACCCCAGCAACAAGAUGAGUGGUGACGCUGCAGACUGGCGGCGGCACUCCCCUGCAUUGCUGUAACAAAGCAGCCGUGUGAGCGACUCGUGGGCUGGCGCGCCGCCGGUUAAUGAUGUACGAGAGGCUCCCAAAUAUAUAUUAUUUUUAGUUAA
Molecule: long non-coding RNA, 1006 nt
Organism: Scylla paramamosain (green mud crab)
Lineage: Eukaryota; Metazoa; Arthropoda; Malacostraca; Decapoda; Portunidae
Exons: 3
Source: RefSeq, a predicted model, not a curated record